Molecule: long non-coding RNA, 1299 nt
Filed under: Homo sapiens (human)
Lineage: Eukaryota; Metazoa; Chordata; Mammalia; Primates; Hominidae
Description: HSALNT0070743
Source: RNAcentral
UUAGAUUGCACCAAACAUGCUUCUAGGUGGCUUAUGGAUUACAUUUUGAAUAAGAUUUCAGUGGGCUGAGAUGGAGGGUGGAUUUGGAAUGCAAUGGAACUGUUCCAAUCUGAGGAGACAAUAUGAACAGGGGUGCUGCAGUAAUAUGCUGUGGAAGUGAUCUACAAACAGUCACAAACUCUGGAUGAGAAAAAGGCAUAAGAUGAGAGGAGUGGGAAUUAAAGCUAGAAGUUGUGAGGGGAGCAGUGCUACAGCAAUGAGAACGCUUUAAAUCUUUGAAAAGGAUAAAACCCUAAAAGCUUAGACCACCUGACAAGGUGUGACAGCCUAAUCUUUGUGAGGUAUUUGAAGAGGUCACCACAGCUGUCUGAACUCGAAGAACUGUGACUCUCUCCCGUCCCUGAAACAAUCCCUGCUGAGUUCCAGGCAGCCAAGGGAGGUUCUGCUUAAAUGACUGCAUAAAAUCAUCCUUAGCAUAUGGGGCUUGAAAGUAAUGCUGCGUGUUGUCAGAUACCACCAGUUAUAACUGUCUCCAAGAGCAAAGGUAAGAGCGUGAGCUACGCCAUAUAUCGUGGCUUCUUUCUGGUCCUGUUGCCAUCAAGAUCCAUUCAGAGGCUCCUGGACAAAAUGGUUGACUUGAGUACCUUCAUCCUUGAGAAUGUGAAGCAGAUGAAAAUCAUUUCUUAAUUUGUGGUGGAGAAAGGGAGAGGCAAGGUCGGAGUGUCCAUUUAAACAAGACAGUCACUUAUGCCCUUCUGAGAGAUCAGCAAUCAAAUGGCUGUAUUAAAACUGACACACACUGUAUCCAAAAAGUAAAAUGAUACUUUUUAAGAAGAAAAACCAUCCCAAAAGUUAGGCAGAAUUAUGUCCUUGGCCUUCAGAAAAACACCGCAGCCAGGACAGAAUCGCUUCAUGUUCCUCUGCUCUUUUCUUCCCUGUGUUCUGCAUUAUUACUUGCUAAAUCAAUUGCAGCUGCUGACCUCGGUCCAGUGCAUUUAAGCCCUUUCUUGGGGCCUCUUUAGUGCCCUUUGAGAAUUUCACCCAUAACUCCUUCUCAGUUCCCUAAGCUGUCUUGACUUCUCUACCAGAAAAUUGUGAUUAUAUUUAUAACAGCAUUUUGAGAAUAUUUCACCAAACUGCUAACAAACCCUGUUUUAUACAACCAAUACAUGAUGCCUUCAAUGCCUUUUUCUCUGCAUGAUGGCCUAGAUUAAUGCACUAUAUAAUGUGUGUAAAUAUAGCCAUGUUUCUUCUUUAAAAGUCAUUAAGAGGGUUUUAAUAAACAUUGAAAUGAUCAAU